Molecule: long non-coding RNA, 1249 nt
Filed under: Panax ginseng (ginseng)
Lineage: Eukaryota; Viridiplantae; Streptophyta; Magnoliopsida; Apiales; Araliaceae
Description: long non-coding RNA (PGIN_LNC003677)
Source: RNAcentral
UUAGUUUAGUUAAUUUUUCCCUACUAAAAUCAACUAAUUAAGUAGCAUUUACUUAGUUAAUAUUAGUUAGCUUCCCAAUACUAAUUAAAAUAAAUUAAGUAGCACUAAUUUACUUAGUUUUACACUACUAAAUAAAAAUAAUAUAAUAAUAUAAAUUUAUAUUAAUUUGUAUAAUAUAAGAUAAUAUAAUAUAAAAUAAAAUAAUAUAUCAUUUGACCAGAUGAGAAACUUUAGAAGUGUUGAAGCACUAAUAUCUCAUUUGACCUUUUCUGCUAGGGAGUUCAUCAACCAACUCUAGACAUUUACAUUGGCUGUAAUCGUGGUGUCCUCCUGCUCUUAUACUAUGAUCAAGUGUUUGAUUAUAGGCGCUUCAUGAUUUUGAGUUGGAUGGCUGACAAGGUUAUCAGUAGUACGUGUCGAGGUCAAGAUUUUUAUUUGUCUCUUUUUUGUUCUUGUUCUUUGGUGUUCUAAUGUUAGGUGAGAUUUGUUUGAAAAAAUAAGUUGUGAAAAGGUCCGACAUGUAUAUGUGGACGAAUGGACUGUAAGAGUCGCCAAUUUGUUAUUUAUGUGGUUGUACCACCACAAUCGAGAAAAAGUUUGCACAUUGACCCAAUGAUGUGACACUGAUAAACGGGUCUGUCAAACCGAGAUUCAUUAGGGUCCGGGGGCAUGAUUAUGCGGAGGAAAGGUGUUAGGCACCCCCCGAAAUUUGUGUUACCACGAUGACCGCCACUUUUCAAGAAACUGUUAUAUGAAUGUGUGUGUGUGUGUGUGGGUCAAUGUGCAGUUAUAUGGAAGUAGUGCGAGGCCUCGUUCGCACCUAUAUACAAAGGGUCUGAAUUUGUGUAAAAAUUUAGUUUUAAACAAGAUAUGGCAGUGAUGUUUUGUAAAAGAGAUUCUUCAAACCCUUGUGCUCAAUAGAAAUUGAGGCCUUUGGAUACUUCCAUUUUUAUCAUGUUCGGCUUGAUUGCUUUUAUUUUCAAGAUGCAAAGCAUCUUCGGGAAAAAUAAUGUACAAGGCAGUGCCGAACUCCUCGUAGGCAUGAAAACCAUAUGGGGAAAUCCAAACAGUGUGAAUAAAUUUACAAGCUGCUUACAGCUGAAAAUGUCCAUUACGGGAACCGAAUCUAGAUUCAGUAGACUGAAUCUGUGAUCACAUGAUUCCUAGGCUCACAUGAUUCCACAAUUUAUAUGAAAAUAGUAAGCAGUUAUAUAUAUAAAAGCUGUAAAUAUAUAUAUACAGACAUGAU